GUGGAUCGACAGAAAUAUCUCCCUCCUCAACCCCUUUCUCUCCCUCGUCUCUUCCCAUCCCGCUCCUCUUCUCCAUGCCGCCGCCACCGCCGCUGCUUCUCCUCCCUCUCGGCCGCCUGUCUCCCCCGCCUCCAACACCUCCUCCUCUCUUUGCCUCCUCACCCAACCAGCACAGCCAGACCACGCGAUGUGGACGAGGAGGCAACAGAUCGGGAGGCGGGCAAGAGGAACCAGGCGGUUCUCCUUCCAUGGCCGGGCCUCGACCAGCCGCAUCUUCCUCCUCCCAGUCCGGCGGAGAGGAGUGGCGGAUCCGCCUCCUCAAGCGAGCAGGGGCGCACGGGGAUUCGAUCCAGGGAUCUCCUUGCGAGAGGCCGCCACCGUACCGACUCCAACCUGCAGCCUGUUCCAACUCAGAAAGUGACAGUUAUACAAGAAGAACCAGAUGCCACUGAAGAUGCCAACGUCCAAGUAAGCAUCGCGAACUGCCAUAAACAUCGCGAACCACUCGAGUAUCUUCAUUCCCUGUGUAGAACUGUUCAAGAAAAGCACCUGUAAAACCAACAGCGUGGAGGAGCCGGCUUCCCGUGUCAGAGUUGCGUGUACUUGCGGGCUACUUCACCGUCACCAGCCCAUCUGUAGUAUUGUAGGGAUGGACAUAUGGAUUGAGUGGUACCCACCUGAAAGAUACACAUCUCAGCAGCCAAGAACUUCAAUAAAAAUGUAUAUCCCAACUCCUUUUAUAAUCUUGAAUGCUUCUCGGUCAACGUCGGUGUCACUUCCAGUCUUGGAUGCUACCAGGAUGCCAGGUGCAAACUUCAUGGAGGCAUAAUGGCUCUGUACUAGCUUUUCUUGAUGAAUGAAAGCAGUGAUGCUGAUAUGAACUAUCUGAACAAUCCACAUUCAGUUUAAGUGAUGUUACUUUGCUUGAAAUUUUGAGAUUGAACUAUUAGCUUACUAUCAGGGAAGAGGUAUGAAAUUCUCAACUUAGGAAGGAACAUACAACCUGUAAUGUGUCGAUCACUAACUAAUAAACAGGAGUCUGAUGUUGGAAAGAAGCAACUGGUACCAACGCAAAAGCAUCACGACUCCCCUUACAAAUCAAUGAAGUGUUCUAAUUCUAAUUCUGGCGAUCUAAGCACCGGUCCAAGCGGCUCUCCCUCGGCUAUGCCUGGAUGUUCGAGCUGUCAGUGUGGUACAGGAGCAGCAGCCACCACCGCUGCCAAGUAGCUCCAGCAAUCACGUGCUCACUCUUUCUUCACAGACUAUGUAUGGUCAGUUCAGAAAAUUGGAGGUUUUAGGAUCUUUGGAAGUUUUUUGAGGCAUCACCCUUCUUGUCCGCAGUUAAAAGGGGUGUGUGUGAGUCUGAGAAAAAUACUUUUGCUUUACUUAUGUUUCAACUUUGGCAAGGCAUGUUUGUACAGGUAGUAAAAAUGUGAUGCAAAUGUUUCUUUUACUAAUUUGUGGAUUUUGAUAGUAGAAUGUUGUUUUGGGCUGGUGCUAAGGAUCAUUCAGUUUCAAGGAAAAAUAUAUAUGUGUGGUUUCUUUGCUUUACAGAAGAUGCAUUAUAUGAUGUUUUCAUUUUGGUAACCAUAAGAAAUUUUACAUUUGAUGGUGAAUUUCAAAAUUAUUUUGUUUGGAUUCUGAAUCAUGCUAGGCAAUGUUGUCUUUGUAAUAAUUUAAAAGGGGUGCUAGGCAGAACCAAGCCAUCCACGUAGGCUAUGAAUAGUGCAGCGAGCGAGCGAGUGAGCUGGCAGCGACUAAAAACCUAGCUUCCCCACCCACGCCCAUGACAGCACGCGACCGUCCCUCCUCCUCGACCUCCCUCCUAGCUGCCCCCUCCCCCUUUCUCCUCAAGAGAAAAGCCAUGAGUUGUUUUACUGAGAGAGAAGAAACAAGUAAUAUCACAUUCUGAAGGUUCAUUUUCUUUUAUAUGGGUGAUGGGUCCUUAAAAUUGUAAGCAUUGCAGUUUUCUAACCAUGUACAUGGGUGGUACGCAGCUAAGCACUCAAGCUAUGAUUAUUGUUGUAUGUAUGGAUUAAUAGUGGUAAUCACUGUUUGGUUCAGGCCUUGAGCAGCUAAGAUAACUCAAAUGUGUACGCUCAUUCAAAGUAACUGAUUUACCUAAAGAACUUGAUUGAUGAUCAGGUGUGCAUUUUGUAUGCAUUGGAAUUAGAUUCAGAAUGCAUGAUGAUUGGUUUCUUCUGUGUUCAUAUAGGAAGUAGCUUCUCAUGCGCCAACAUUUUUUAGGUGUGUUGUGCCGAGGAAAUCUUAUGCUUCAGUGCGUACAUUUCGGUUGUGUUUGUCUAGAGUUUUUUUUUUGCUUACAGGACAAAAUAUUCUUAUUUACUUUGGUUCAUCUAUUUGUAGCAAAAAACUAUUUCUUCGUGCGUAAAUAUGUUGUGUUCAUUAUUCGGGUCAAAUGAGUGAGACCGUCGUUUUUGUAUUGGCUUCAAGGGAGGAUGAUUUGCUGUGUACGUUUCAUUUUCCAUCAAGGCCAUCAUGUCGUCCACUCAUGUACAUGUCAUUCUCUGCUUUUAAACAUGUGUCGAGUGUAACCGCUAGCAUGUGUACGAAGACAAAUAAUUCUCAAGGCACUGGCAUGACUGGAGGAAAAGAGGUUCUGUGACUCAAGGUUGGGUCGCCAUGUGUAUAUUUAUUUAUGUAUUCAUAUCCAUGCUUGUGUGGUUUUCUCUAUUUUCGUAGCCAGUCACAUGCCUUCUCCUUAUUUGCUUUGUCAAUGUUCGUGUGUGCCCAACUCAAUUGUUGCUGCUUUUAUGUAUGUGCUUUCUUAUGUGGCAGAUAAACUCUUGCUUUAAUAUGUGCACUUCCAGGUUUGACGCAGUACAGUGCGGGGGAGGCGGUGUCCUCUGCAGCUAGGUCUACUUGCUGGCGACCUCACCAUCACCAACCCAUCUACAGCCUACUUGAAUGGAUAUGGUUCUUGAGAGGCCAUUUCUUAUGCAUCAGGCCCUGAAGGUGGAUGUUGCUUGUAUGCUAAACAAGGAAGAGGCAUGCCCUACCUGGCAGCGACCACCUUCCACUCAAGGGAUAUAGCACUAUCAUUUAGCACACACUGUUCCAGGAGAAACAAUAAUCAUGAACAGAAACAGUAACCAACAAUAUCCCUACUGACCGGCGCGGCUCCACCAACGAUCCAUCAGCCCCUGGUACAGAAAGA
Triticum urartu is the source of this 3178-nucleotide non-coding RNA. NCBI's taxonomy places the organism in Eukaryota, Viridiplantae, Streptophyta, Magnoliopsida, Poales, Poaceae. The record is from RefSeq and is a predicted model, not a curated record.